UGGGGAAUUUUGGACAAUGGGGGAAACCCUGAUCCAGCCAUCCCGCGUGUGCGAUGAAGGCCUUCGGGUUGUAAAGCACUUUUGGCAGGAAAGAAACGUCGCGGGUUAAUACCCCGCGAAACUGACGGUACCUGCAGAAUAAGCACCGGCUAACUACGUGCCAGCAGCCGCGGUAAUACGUAGGGUGCAAGCGUUAAUCGGAAUUACUGGGCGUAAAGCGUGCGCAGGCGGUUCGGAAAGAAAGAUGUGAAAUCCCAGAGCUUAACUUUGGAACUGCAUUUUUAACUACCGGGCUAGAGUGUGUCAGAGGGAGGUGGAAUUCCGCGUGUAGCAGUGAAAUGCGUAGAUAUGCGGAGGAACACCGAUGGCGAAGGCAGCCUCCUGGGAUAACACUGACGCUCAUGCACGAAAGCGUGGGGAGCAAACAGGAUUAGAUACCCUGGUAGUCCACGCCCUAAACGAUGUCAACUAGCUGUUGGGGCCUUCGGGCCUUGGUAGCGCAGCUAACGCGUGAAGUUGACCGCCUGGGGAGUACGGUCGCAAGAUUAAAACUUAAAUGAA
RNAcentral lists this ribosomal RNA (561 nucleotides) under uncultured bacterium. Its description in RNAcentral is "partial 16S ribosomal RNA". It matches the Rfam family "Bacterial small subunit ribosomal RNA", at positions 355 to 909 of the family's 1533-position model. The record is from RNAcentral.